RNAcentral lists this long non-coding RNA (1757 nucleotides) under Homo sapiens (human). RNAcentral describes it as "HSALNT0304775". The record is from RNAcentral. Lineage: Eukaryota; Metazoa; Chordata; Mammalia; Primates; Hominidae.
GUCGCCAAUUCCAAGAGGAAAGCGCCUGAAAGCCACUGAGGCAGCGGCGUAGCCGGCGGAGGACCACUGUGACGAACUUGUGUCCUGCGUCAACAGUGUGUGGAACGUUGGCGACUUCGGCGCUCGAGCUGCACUCGGCUGGGCUCUUGGCAGCACCCUGUGCUCUGAGGGUGUCUUGCCCGCCGGGCGCCGUGGCUCACGCCUGUAAUCCCAACACUUUGGGAGGCUGAGGCGGGCGGAUCACUUGAGGUCAAGAGUUCAAGACCAGCCUGGCCAACAUGGUGAAAGCCCAUCUCUACUAAAAAUACAAAAAUUAGCCAGGUGUGGUGGCAGGUGCCUGUAGUCCCAGCUAUUUGGGAGGCUGAGGCAGGAGAAUCGCUUGAACCCAGGAGGUGGAGGUUGCAGUACGAUUCUACUCUAAAAGUCACCAGGAAAAAUUCAGCUCCACUGGUCCUGGCUCUAAGUCUACUAGCAAAAUCUUCCAGAGAAGUGGAAAAGCCAUCAGCCAAUGUGUUAGACUAUCAUUUCCAUGACCUUACACCUAUCAAAAAGGCACUAUUACCAGGCUUAUAGAAUUCUAAAAAAGUUGGAAACCAUUUUCCAUUAUAAAAGAAAUUCUUCCAAAUCACACAAAACACUCUGACGCUUCUCCAAUUCCCCCUUUCAAUGUUCCGCAAAUGUGCUGGUUUGAAGGAAAAAAAAUUCAAUGUGGCACAUGUUUAAAAAUAUAAUGAAGACAUAGACAUUAUCAAAUACAACUGAUAGCACUAACCUUCCCUUUGAACCGUCCCUAAACAUCCACACUCACAUGUCCUUUAAAUACAAACCACUUUUCUCCAGGCUUCCUAACUUGGUAAAUCCAGGUACCUUCCCAGGUCGUUCAGAGAAUUGGGAGCCUCGUUCCACAUCACUUUUCCCCAGCCCAGCAGCACAAAACCAAUCAGCUGACAAAUUCAUUUCCACCUCUCAAGGCCUCUCAUAUUAAUCCCUCCUUUCCACACAUAUACUGCCCUAGCUCAGACCCUCUCAUACUUCUUAAACUGACACAGACAACCUCACUUGGAGGCUAACUGGUCUCCUUAUCUUUAAUCCCAAAAUACACCUAUUUACCACACAGAUCCAAAACCUCGUAACUCCUUUCUCAAAAUCCUGUAAUGCCCUGUCAAUUGCAUUCAGAAGAAAACCACCUUUUCAUCCUUUCUCCCUUUAAGAGCACAUUGGUAAGAGUGUAAAUCCCAGUUCUACCACUUAGUAGGUUUAUUUCAUUUGUAACCUCUAUCUCAUUUGUAAAAAAAAAGAAUCAUAGUACUCUCUUCUCAAUAAAACUGUUCUAAGGAAAUAAUUAAUACUAAUAAAGCACUGAGAACAAUGCCUAGCACAUAGAAAAUGCCCAAAAAAGGUUAUUAUUGUUAUCCAAACCCUAUCCUGCCUCACCCUACAGACUACUUGUACUUUUAUAAGUAUUUAUUCUACAGAUUUAUUGAGUCCUUAUGACUAGGAGAUGAAGAUACAAAUAUCCAUUAAAAAAUGUUCCGCAUUAUCUAGCCUUCCUGCCUGUGCCUGUGUGGUUUCUCCUUGCCCUGAAUGCUCCUUUCUACCUACAGAUAUCCUACUCAACCCCAAGGUCCAAACGAAGACUGACAUGUCUCUCAGAGAUGAGGCUUUGAUUUUGCCAUGUCCUCCCAUUGGAUGUCAUCUUCCCAUCAGUCAAUCAACGAUGAUCUCACUCUUUCCCUGUGGCUGGAGUACAGUGGCAU